AUGAUCGUCCGAGACCAAACAGGAAAAAUCGAAGUGCCAACAACUGAAGUGAAGAAACAAGAGAUACCUGCAUGCAGAGUAGUACUGAGGAAAGCGAUCAAGUUUGAGGUACUAAAGUUAGUUCAGGAGUCAGACUGCUGUUGGAGUGACAAUAAUUCAAGGACUCAUGCCAAUGGGACUGUCUUGUUGAUGGUUGUGGUAUGGAGAAUUCUCUCCAAAAAGGACAGACCCAGUGCUAGAAGCUGCACCCUGCAGUGCAGGGAGGUGGCGUCGAACCCAGGACCUCUUGGCACAAGUGGGGAGUACUUCACCACUGCGCCAGGCCCCUCCUAG
Molecule: ribosomal RNA, 333 nt
Filed under: Triticum aestivum (bread wheat)
Lineage: Eukaryota; Viridiplantae; Streptophyta; Magnoliopsida; Poales; Poaceae
Description: partial small subunit ribosomal RNA
Source: RNAcentral